CUGUGAGUCAGAUGCAGGUUCUCAGACUCCUGAGCCAGUAGAAACACUCCCCGGCCUUGAAUCUCGAUUGACUCUGUUUCCUUCCUUUCCUCUUCUGUGAAUCAUCCAUGCCACACAAAAGAUGAGGAAAAUGAGGCCCAGAGAUUUGAAGAAACCUGCCCAAUGUCACUAAGUGGUUUGAGAAGUGGACUCUCUGAGGCAUAUCAUCAUCAUCAUCAUCAUCAUCAUCAUCAUCAUCAUUUUAACAAAGGACUCAUGCAACUAAAAAGUUUCAGUUGUAAGGACAGGCUAUGCAGUUAAUAGGGGCAAUCAUAGGAUUGACCAUAUAA
This is a long non-coding RNA of Phascolarctos cinereus (koala), 329 nucleotides long. RefSeq lists it as uncharacterized. Lineage: Eukaryota; Metazoa; Chordata; Mammalia; Diprotodontia; Phascolarctidae. The record is from RefSeq and is a predicted model, not a curated record.